ACACUACGAGUUUGAUCCUGGCUCAGAGCGAACGCUAGCGGCGGGCUUAACACAUGCAAGUCGAGCGCAUCUCCUUCGGGAGGUGAGCGGCGAACGGGUGAGUAACACGUAGGUAACGUACCCUCUGGUGGGGAAUAACCCAGGGAAACUUGGGCUAAUACCGCAUGUGCCCUUCGGGUGAAAGACUUCGGUUGCCAGAGGAUCGGCCUGCGGCCCAUUAUUUAAUCCUAGUUGGUAGGGUAACGGCCUACCAAGGGUACGAUGGGUAGCUGGUCUGAGAGGAUGAUCAGCCACACUGGGACUGAGACACGGCCCAGACUCCUACGGGAGGCAGCAGUGGGGAAUAUUGGACAAUGGGCGAAAGCCUGAUCCAGCCACGCCGCGUGAGUGAUGAAGGCCUCGGUUGUAAGACUCUGUCGGGAGGGACGGAAGGUACUAGACGGUACCGUCCCAACGAAAGACGCCGGCGUAACUCCGUG
This 479-nucleotide ribosomal RNA is filed under the name uncultured bacterium. RNAcentral describes it as "bacterial SSU rRNA". It matches the Rfam family "Bacterial small subunit ribosomal RNA", at positions 1 to 507 of the family's 1533-position model. The record is from RNAcentral.